Molecule: ribosomal RNA, 1694 nt
Filed under: Psychrobacter sp. 230
Lineage: Bacteria; Pseudomonadati; Pseudomonadota; Gammaproteobacteria; Moraxellales; Moraxellaceae
Description: partial 23S ribosomal RNA
Rfam family: Bacterial large subunit ribosomal RNA
Source: RNAcentral
GUUGUAUGGUCAAGUAAUGAAGCGCACAUGGUGGAUGCCUUGGCAGUCAGAGGCGAUGAAAGACGUGACAGCCUGCGAUAAGCUUCGGGGAGGCGGCAAUAUCCUGUGAUCCGGAGAUUUCUGAAUGGGGAAACCCACUUACCAUAAGGUAGGUAUCCUAAUUUAUUAGGAAGCGAACGAGGGGAAGUGAAACAUCUCAGUACCCUUAGGAAUAGACAUCAAUUGAGAUUCCCCUAGUAGCGGCGAGCGAACGGGGAGAAGCCGAUUAAUUCUAAUGUAGAAGAACAGCGUGGGAAAGCUGACCGUAGUAGGUGAUAGUCCUGUAUUCGAAACAUUAGAGUUAACAUAUUAAGUAGAGCGGGGCACGAGAAAUCCUGUUUGAAGAUGGGGGGACCAUCCUCCAAGGCUAAAUACUCCUGACUGACCGAUAGUGAACCAGUACCGUGAGGGAAAGGCGAAAAGAACCCCUGUGAGGGGAGUGAAAUAGAACCUGAAACCGUGUGCGUACAAGCAGUGGGAGCCCACUUGUUGGGUGACCGCGUACCUUUUGUAUAAUGGGUCAGCGACUUAUAUUCUGUAGCAAGGUUAACCGUUUAGGGGAGCCGUAGGGAAACCGAGUCUUAAUAGGGCGUUUAGUUGCAGGGUAUAGACCCGAAACCGAGUGAUCUAUCCAUGAGCAGGUUGAAAGUGCCGUAACAGGCACCGGAGGACCGAACCCACUGUCGUUGAAAAGCCAGGGGAUGACUUGUGGAUAGGGGUGAAAGGCUAAUCAAACUCGGUGAUAGCUGGUUCUCCCCGAAAGCUAUUUAGGUAGCGCCUCGGACGAACACCAUUGGGGGUAGAGCACUGUUUCGGCUAGGGGGUCAUACCGACUUACCAAACCGAUGCAAACUCCGAAUACCGAUGAGUGAUAUCCGGGAGACACACGGUGGGUGCUAACGUCCAUCGUGGAGAGGGAAACAACCCAGACCGCCAGCUAAGGCCCCAAAUUCCUAGUUAAGUGGGAAACGAGGUGGGAAGGCAUAGACAGCUAGGAGGUUGGCUUAGAAGCAGCCAUCCUUUAAAGAAAGCGUAAUAGCUCACUAGUCGAGUCGGCCCGCGCGGAAGAUGUAACGGGGCUCAAACUAGGAGCCGAAGCUGCGGAUUUGAAUUUGUUUUCAAGUGGUAGGGGAGCGUUGUGUAAGCCUGUGAAGGUGUGUUGUAAAGCAUGCUGGAGGUAUCACAAGAGCGAAUGCUGACGUGAGUAACGAUAAUGCGAGUGAAAAGCUCGCACGCCGGAAGAUCAAGGGUUCCAGUCCAACGUUAAUCGGGGCUGGGUGAGUCGACCCCUAAGGCGAGGCCGAAAGGCGUAGUCGAUGGGAAAUCGGUUAAUAUUCCGAUACUUGUUUAUAAUGCGAUGGAGGGACGGAGAAGGUUAUGUCAGCCUGGCGUUGGUUGUCCAGGUGAAAGGAUGUAGGUUUAUAGCUUAGGUAAAUCCGGGCUAUUCUAUACCGAGAUCUGAUAGCAAGCUGUACUUGUACAGCGAAGUGGCAAAUACCAUGCUUCCAGGAAAAGCUUCUAAGCAAUAGUUAUAAACGAAUCGUACCCUAAACCGACACAGGUGAUCAGGUAGAGAAUACCAAGGCGCUUGAGAGAACUCUGCUGAAGGAACUAGGCAAAAUGGUACCGUAACUUCGGGAGAAGGUACGCUGUUG